GGGUUGUGAGGUUAAGCGACUAAGCGUACACGGUGGAUGCCCUGGCAGUCAGAGGCGAUGAAGGACGUGCUAAUCUGCGAUAAGCGUCGGUAAGGUGAUAUGAACCGUUAUAACCGGCGAUUUCCGAAUGGGGAAACCCAGUGUGUUUCGACACACUAUCAUUAACUGAAUCCAUAGGUUAAUGAGGCGAACCGGGGGAACUGAAACAUCUAAGUACCCCGAGGAAAAGAAAUCAACCGAGAUUCCCCCAGUAGCGGCGAGCGAACGGGGAGCAGCCCAGAGCCUGAAUCAGUGUGUGUGUUAGUGGAAGCGUCUGGAAAGGCGCGCGAUACAGGGUGACAGCCCCGUACACAAAAAUGCACAUGCUGUGAGCUCGAUGAGUAGGGCGGGACACGUGGUAUCCUGUCUGAAUAUGGGGGGACCAUCCUCCAAGGCUAAAUACUCCUGACUGACCGAUAGUGAACCAGUACCGUGAGGGAAAGGCGAAAAGAACCCCGGCGAGGGGAGUGAAAAAGAACCUGAAACCGUGUACGUACAAGCAGUGGGAGCACGCUUAGGCGUGUGACUGCGUACCUUUUGUAUAAUGGGUCAGCGACUUAUAUUCUGUAGCAAGGUUAACCGAAUAGGGGAGCCGAAGGGAAACCGAGUCUUAACUGGGCGUUAAGUUGCAGGGUAUAGACCCGAAACCCGGUGAUCUAGCCAUGGGCAGGUUGAAGGUUGGGUAACACUAACUGGAGGACCGAACCGACUAAUGUUGAAAAAUUAGCGGAUGACUUGUGGCUGGGGGUGAAAGGCCAAUCAAACCGGGAGAUAGCUGGUUCUCCCCGAAAGCUAUUUAGGUAGCGCCUCGUGAAUUCAUCUCCGGGGGUAGAGCACUGUUUCGGCAAGGGGGUCAUCCCGACUUACCAACCCGAUGCAAACUGCGAAUACCGGAGAAUGUUAUCACGGGAGACACACGGCGGGUGCUAACGUCCGUCGUGAAGAGGGAAACAACCCAGACCGCCAGCUAAGGUCCCAAAGUCAUGGUUAAGUGGGAAACGAUGUGGGAAGGCCCAGACAGCCAGGAUGUUGGCUUAGAAGCAGCCAUCAUUUAAAGAAAGCGUAAUAGCUCACUGGUCGAGUCGGCCUGCGCGGAAGAUGUAACGGGGCUAAACCAUGCACCGAAGCUGCGGCAGCGACACUAUGUGUUGUUGGGUAGGGGAGCGUUCUGUAAGCCUGUGAAGGUGUACUGUGAGGUAUGCUGGAGGUAUCAGAAGUGCGAAUGCUGACAUAAGUAACGAUAAAGCGGGUGAAAAGCCCGCUCGCCGGAAGACCAAGGGUUCCUGUCCAACGUUAAUCGGGGCAGGGUGAGUCGACCCCUAAGGCGAGGCCGAAAGGCGUAGUCGAUGGGAAACAGGUUAAUAUUCCUGUACUUGGUGUUACUGCGAAGGGGGGACGGAGAAGGCUAUGUUGGCCGGGCGACGGUUGUCCCGGUUUAAGCGUGUAGGCUGGUUUUCCAGGCAAAUCCGGAAAAUCAAGGCUGAGGCGUGAUGACGAGGCACUACGGUGCUGAAGCAACAAAUGCCCUGCUUCCAGGAAAAGCCUCUAAGCAUCAGGUAACAUCAAAUCGUACCCCAAACCGACACAGGUGGUCAGGUAGAGAAUACCAAGGCGCUUGAGAGAACUCGGGUGAAGGAACUAGGCAAAAUGGUGCCGUAACUUCGGGAGAAGGCACGCUGAUAUGUAGGUGAAGUCCCUCGCGGAUGGAGCUGAAAUCAGUCGAAGAUACCAGCUGGCUGCAACUGUUUAUUAAAAACACAGCACUGUGCAAACACGAAAGUGGACGUAUACGGUGUGACGCCUGCCCGGUGCCGGAAGGUUAAUUGAUGGGGUCAGCGCAAGCGAAGCUCUUGAUCGAAGCCCCGGUAAACGGCGGCCGUAACUAUAACGGUCCUAAGGUAGCGAAAUUCCUUGUCGGGUAAGUUCCGACCUGCACGAAUGGCGUAAUGAUGGCCAGGCUGUCUCCACCCGAGACUCAGUGAAAUUGAACUCGCUGUGAAGAUGCAGUGUACCCGCGGCAAGACGGAAAGACCCCGUGAACCUUUACUAUAGCUUGACACUGAACAUUGAGCCUUGAUGUGUAGGAUAGGUGGGAGGCUUUGAAGUGUGGACGCCAGUCUGCAUGGAGCCGGCCUUGAAAUACCACCCUUUAAUGUUUGAUGUUCUAACGUUGACCCGUAAUCCGGGUUGCGGACAGUGUCUGGUGGGUAGUUUGACUGGGGCGGUCUCCUCCUAAAGAGUAACGGAGGAGCACGAAGGUUGGCUAAUCCUGGUCGGACAUCAGGAGGUUAGUGCAAUGGCAUAAGCCAGCUUGACUGCGAGCGUGACGGCGCGAGCAGGUGCGAAAGCAGGUCAUAGUGAUCCGGUGGUUCUGAAUGGAAGGGCCAUCGCUCAAC
RNAcentral lists this ribosomal RNA (2435 nucleotides) under Escherichia coli O8:H8. RNAcentral's name for it is "partial 23S ribosomal RNA". It matches the Rfam family "Bacterial large subunit ribosomal RNA", at positions 1 to 2453 of the family's 2925-position model. The record is from RNAcentral. Lineage: Bacteria; Pseudomonadati; Pseudomonadota; Gammaproteobacteria; Enterobacterales; Enterobacteriaceae.